RNAcentral lists this long non-coding RNA (384 nucleotides) under Spirodela polyrhiza (greater duckweed). RNAcentral's name for it is "long non-coding RNA (SPOL_LNC000210)". Lineage: Eukaryota; Viridiplantae; Streptophyta; Magnoliopsida; Alismatales; Araceae. The record is from RNAcentral.
UCUCUCUCUCUCUCUCUCUCUCUCUCUCUUUCUCAUCUGUGGGUCUUCUCUUCGCCAUGGAGGAGAAGAUCUUCGAAUGCCCGCCGCAGCUCAGCGGCGCGGCGGCGGCUGGGGGCGGCGAUCAGCUGCCGCCGUGCUUCGUGCACUUCAAUUGGGACAGCGCCGUUGACCAGAAUGCCGGCGCCCACUUCGAGUCUGCGCUCAGCUCCAUGGUCUCCUCUCCGUCCUCCACCAAUCCGGCACCGGCUGGGGCGGAGAAUCUCGUCAUCCGCGAGCUGAUCGGGCGGCUGGGGAGCAUCUGCAACUCCGGCGAGAUCUCGCCGCAGUCCCACCGCUACGGGGGCGGCGCCGCCACCUCCUGCUACAGCACCCCCCUGAACUCCC